Non-coding RNA from Dermacentor andersoni, 3568 nucleotides. The record is from RefSeq and is a predicted model, not a curated record. NCBI's taxonomy places the organism in Eukaryota, Metazoa, Arthropoda, Arachnida, Ixodida, Ixodidae.
CAUUACCAAAGGACUUUAAAGUGGGCAAGGUGGUUCCAUUAUUUAAGUCUGGCGACGUACAUUCACCUUUAAAUUACAGGCCAAUUUCUCUAACAAGUGUGCCAUGCAAAAUUCUAGAGCAUAUAAUACACUCUAAUCUCAUCAAAUUCCUAGAAACAAAUUCAUUUUUUUCAUCUCGUCAGCAUGGGCUCCGUAAAUCGUUUUCCUAGGAUACUCAAGUUAUUUCAUUUACACAUGACAUCUGUGCCGCGUUGGAUAAUAGAUUUCACAUUGACAGCAUCUUCUUAGACUUUUCUAAAGCAUUUGAUCUCGUCUCUCACCAAUUACUUUGUCUAAAAUUAAAUACACUUAACAUUGACCGUAACAUUAUCUCAUGGAUCGAACACUUCUUAUCCAAUAGAACACGAUUUGUCUCAGCUAGCAAUUUUGACUCUUCCCGUUGUCCUGUCAGUUCCGGGGUGCCGCAAGGUUCCGUUCUCGGACCGUUGCUUUUUCUCAUUUAUAUUGAUGAUUUGCCUAACUCUGUAGCGUCCUCCAUAAGGUUAUUUGCAGACGAUUGUAUCAUUUACAGAGUAAUAUAAUCAAAUUCUGACACUCUAAAAGUACAAUCUGAUCUAGACAAGGUAACUAACUGGUGCGACACUUGGAAAAUGCGACUUAACAGCCAAAAGUGCAAACUAAUGAGGAUUUCCCGCAAUACUGCUUCGUCUAACAUAUCCAACUAUCACUUGAAGAACUCCGUACUCGAAGAAGUCAGUUCCUAUAAAAACUUGGGCGUCCACAUAACAUCUAAUUUUUCCUGGCACACACGCAUAAACCACAUCACUAACAAUGCUAGCCGUACGCUUGGUUACCUCCGUCGCAAUUUCUCUAUGGCACCCGCUAACUUAAAGCUACUUCUAUACAAAACACUAAUACGUCCUACGUUUAAAUAUGCCUCUUCUCUAUGGGACCCUGGCUUGGAUUACUUAACAAAUGCAAUAAAAUCUAGACACAAUCGUAGCGCGCGUUUCAUUCUUACUAACUAUUCUCGGACAUCAAGCGUAACAUCUAUGAAGGCUACUUUAAACCUCCCUCUCCUCUCAUCCCGUAGGAAGUUAGCACGCUUAUCACUGCUGCACAAAAUUUAUUAUUACAAUCCGGAAUUAAAAAGUGAACUUUUGUCCGAACCUGCAUAUAUAUUAUCUCGUACUGACCAUCGGCAUAAAUUGAGCGUUCCACACUGUUGCACGAACGUAUAUUUUUAUUCAUUUAUUCCUAAUACUACCAAUGAAUGGAAUCAUCUGCCGGCCUCAAUUGUUGACAUAACCUAUACAUCUGCUUUUAGAACUUUUUAGAACUACUAUUGAAGAAUACUUUUGUUAAUCCGCAUUUUCUAAUUUUUUUCUUGUUAUUAUUAUACUCUGUUAUCUGCACAUGCUCUGUAUUUUGUUCCACUCCCUUCUGUAACGCCUUCGGGCCUUGAAGCUACUAUAAAUAAAUAAAUAAAUAAAUAAAUAAAUAAAUAAAUAAAUAAAUAAAUAAAUAAAUAAAAUGUUCAGUACGUUUGCAGACUAGAUUUCUUCCGCAAGAAUAGCAAAUGGGCAGAUUCAAGUGAGGAGCACUAAUCGAAUAGCAGAGGUUAUUCGACCAACAUUCGAAAUUCGCACUACUGAGGCCCCCUAAAAUAAAAUGGCCCAGAACGACAUCGAUGAAGGUACCCACCAUUACACUUCCUGCACAUUUCCUUCAACUCCACUUGCAUCCCACAUUGUUAUUCGAACGUCUUGUUAAAUGUACCAGCUCUUUGACUUCUUUCCCUAAAACAAUUAGAUAUUUUAAAUGCCGGUUAUCCAUUCGUCAGGUAUUUACACUCGUCAGACGUUGUGGCACGUACUUUCAUAUGCAUUUGUAUGUCAUAAUUUUUACAGGACUAUCACACUUAUGUAUCUAUCACUUUGUUCAUGACGCGCCUACGUUAGACCAAAUUUAUGAAAUGUUGUUGCCAAUAUUCUAUCAAAACAGUUCUCUAUAUUUACAUUCCGUGAGUAGGGCGCAAGUAACCUACAUUGUUCAUUGUACACAACCAGCCUCGUGUCCUUUGGAAGACGCGUACGCUGAUAGAUAUAUACAGUCAGAUGCCUCAACAGCGAACGCCUCUAUAACAAAAUGAUCUGUAUACCAAAGGUUGAAAAUGGUCCUGGCUGAAUUUCCAUCUUCCAUAUACGUUGUAAACCCCUUUAGCAUGAUGAUCACUACAAUAGACUUAUAUAUAAGAGGAACUAAUUUCCUUGUCACCGAUGGCGUAAUUGUUCUUUGACAAAGAACGUCAUGUAGCGUUGCCACCAGUCAACUGCACUCGGCACUCUUAUCACAAAAGGGAGAGACAAUGAAGGCUUUCCAGAACGUGUCGAUAACAGCGUCUAUUAAGUCCAGCUGCACCGUUUCAGGAAAGGUUGAAAUUCUACUAGGACUUGUUGUAGCACAGCAGUGGGUGCCACGAAUGGCGAAUACGUUGCAGUAGAUGAAAGUAUCUUGUCGUAAUUGUAACUGACGACUGAUGGUCUCAUCGAUGCAAUCUAGGGCAAAAUGAAUGGGAAUGUCAACAGAAGGUAAAGUUAUCAAGAGCCUGUGAACAAACCUAGAAUUUCGACGGCAAGGGAGGUGAUAGCGGCUGUCGACUACCUGUAGCUUUAUCUUGCGUAGCUCCUACGUUUUGUCAUGGAGCACUGCCUGAACCCGAGGCGAAAUAAGGCCGGCUGUAGUCACACUUUCCAUCAUACGAAAGGUGCACAAAACUAUUACCCACUUAAAGGACUAAUUCUUUUUUGAAUUCAUUUCAAGAAAGAAAGAAAUAAACCAGAGCGAGGUUUGUCCUAUUCAACAUAAUUGGAUUACUGUAUUGUGAUUAGAGCGGAGCGCCCCCCCUAAACGAAGUGAUCUUGUUAAGUUCAAUUUCGGAUAUCACAGACACUUCAUUUUAAAUACGUUCGACUCUAUACAGGAUCCACAUUUGCUUCAUAGACCAAGUUCUGCUACUGACUACUUCUCUCAGGGAUACCAUUAUCAUUUUGGAAUCCCAUGCAUUUCUGUGCCUAAGGGCCGCUAAAUAUUUGAGUAUUUAUCAAGAUAUUUACCAAGGUUUGCUUUUUCAGUGUUCUUACAGCGAGACACUAAAAACAUAGUGGUAACGCCUACUCUGUAACGCUUACUUGCAUUGAAGGUAACGAAAUAAAUAAAUAAAUAAAUAAAUAAAUAAAUAAAUAAAUAAAUAAAUAAAUAAAUAAAUAAAUACCUGAGGGAAAUUUAUUCACAGAUGCUUCCUUUCUCUUUCAGGUUAUACGUCGAAUGUUGUCAGCAACACGCUCAACAGUCCCAAAGCAAACACAGCGUGUUUAGUAUGGAGAUUACUUAAAGCGAAUGAAGAAGAUAGAGCUCGGUGCAGGGCCACCUUCGCAAAAGUUUGUGGCCAGUACGGAAGAUAUAAAUUCGUAUUCACCAAAGACGUAUGCCUGAUGAAACAAUCUAUAAAUCAAACGUUGCCGGCCACAAAGCAAAUGAAUUGAAUAAAACUUUUUUUCCACCAGUG